This is a small nucleolar RNA of Papio anubis (olive baboon), 104 nucleotides long. NCBI's taxonomy places the organism in Eukaryota, Metazoa, Chordata, Mammalia, Primates, Cercopithecidae. The record is from Ensembl.
AUUCUUGUAUAGUUUGUAAGUGUGAUGAUUGACUUUUCAUGCUCAGGCAUGAGAUGUGUCACCCUCAAACCUUGCUAAAACAUCAGCGCAAGACCAGGCACAGU